RNAcentral lists this unclassified non-coding RNA (347 nucleotides) under soil metagenome. RNAcentral's name for it is "partial contains 5.8S ribosomal RNA, internal transcribed spacer 2, and large subunit ribosomal RNA". The stretch from base 1 to 121 matches the Rfam family "5.8S ribosomal RNA", at positions 35 to 154 of the family's 154-position model. The record is from RNAcentral.
GAUGAAGAACGUAGCGAAAUGCGAUAAGUAAUGCGAAUUGCAGAAUUUCCGUGAAUCAUCGAGUCUUUGAACGCACAUUGCGCCCCCUGGUAUUCCGGGGGGCAUGCCUGUCCGAGCGUCAUUGCUGCCCUCAAGCACGGCUUGUGUGUUGGGCCCCGUCCUCCGAUCCCGGGGGACGGGCCCGAAAGGCAGCGGCGGCACCGCGUCCGGUCCUCGAGCGUAUGGGGCUUUGUCACCCGCUCUGUAGGCCCGGCCGGCGCUUGCCGAUCAACCCAAAUUUUUAUCCAGGUUGACCUCGGAUCAGGUAGGGAUACCCGCUGAACUUAAGCAUAUCAAUAAGCGGAGGA